GGCUCAGAUUGAACGCUGGCGGCAGGCCUAACACAUGCAAGUCGAGCGGUAGCACAGAGAGCUUGCUCUCGGGUGACGAGCGGCGGACGGGUGAGUAAUGUCUGGGAAACUGCCUGAUGGAGGGGGAUAACUACUGGAAACGGUAGCUAAUACCGCAUAACGUCGCAAGACCAAAGUGGGGGACCUUCGGGCCUCAUGCCAUCAGAUGUGCCCAGAUGGGAUUAGCUAGUAGGUGGGGUAAUGGCUCACCUAGGCGACGAUCCGUAACUGGUCUGAGAGGAUGAUC
This 286-nucleotide ribosomal RNA is filed under the name Platyophrya macrostoma. RNAcentral describes it as "partial Bacterial small subunit ribosomal RNA". It matches the Rfam family "Bacterial small subunit ribosomal RNA", at positions 21 to 305 of the family's 1533-position model. Lineage: Eukaryota; Ciliophora; Colpodea; Cyrtolophosidida; Platyophryidae. The record is from RNAcentral.